GAUGAGAACGCAGCGAAAUGCGAUACUUGGUGUGAAUUGCAGAAUCCCGUGAACCAUCGAGUCUUUGAACGCAAGUUGCGCCCGAAGCCAUUAGGCCGAGGGCACGCCUGCCUGGGCGUCACACGUCGUUGCCCCCCCCCAUCUACUCCUUCGGGAUUGCGGGGGGGCGGAUGAUGGCCUCCCGUGCGCCUAGCCGCGCGGUUGGCAUAAAUACCAAGUCCUCGGCGACGCACGCCACGACAAUCGGUGGUUGCGAAACCUCGGUUGCCCGUCGUGUGCGUUCGUCGCGCAUCGAGGGCUCGAAAAAAUGCUCGGCUCCGGCUGGGCUUUCAACGCGACCCCAGGUCAGGCGGGGUUACCCGCUGAAUUUAAGCAUAUCAAUAAGCGGAGGA
RNAcentral lists this unclassified non-coding RNA (392 nucleotides) under soil metagenome. RNAcentral describes it as "partial contains 5.8S ribosomal RNA, internal transcribed spacer 2, and large subunit ribosomal RNA". The stretch from base 5 to 121 matches the Rfam family "5.8S ribosomal RNA", at positions 40 to 154 of the family's 154-position model. The record is from RNAcentral.